CCUACGGGAGGCAGCAGUAGGGAAUCUUCCGCAAUGGACGAAAGUCUGACGGAGCAACGCCGCGUGAGUGAUGAAGGUUUUCGGAUCGUAAAGCUCUGUUGUUAGGGAAGAACAAGUGCAAGAGUAACUGCUUGCACCUUGACGGUACCUAACCAGAAAGCCACGGCUAACUACGUGCCAGCAGCCGCGGUAAUACGUAGGUGGCAAGCGUUGUCCGGAAUUAUUGGGCGUAAAGGGCUCGCAGGCGGUUUCUUAAGUCUGAUGUGAAAGCCCCCGGCUCAACCGGGGAGGGUCAUUGGAAACUGGGAAACUUGAGUGCAGAAGAGGAGAGUGGAAUUCCACGUGUAGCGGUGAAAUGCGUAGAGAUGUGGAGGAACACCAGUGGCGAAGGCGACUCUCUGGUCUGUAACUGACGCUGAGGAGCGAAAGCGUGGGGAGCGAACAGGAUUAGAUACCCUGGUAGUCCACGCCGUAAACGAUGAGUGCUAAGUGUUAGGGGGUUUCCGCCCCUUAGUGCUGCAGCUAACGCAUUAAGCACUCCGCCUGGGGAGUACGGUCGCAAGACUGAAACUCAAAGGAAUUGACGGGGGCCCGCACAAGCGGUGGAGCAUGUGGUUUAAUUCGAAGCAACGCGAAGAACCUUAC
Molecule: ribosomal RNA, 645 nt
Filed under: bacterium HN1-C-09
Lineage: Bacteria
Also listed under: 1 other name
Description: bacterial SSU rRNA
Rfam family: Bacterial small subunit ribosomal RNA
Source: RNAcentral